AUACAGAGGGGGCGAGCGUUGUUCGGAAUUACUGGGCGUAAAGGGCGCGUAGGCGGCCUCUUAAGUCGAACGUGAAAUCCCCGGGCUCAACCCGGGAACUGCGUCCGAUACUGGGAGGCUUGAAUCCGGGCGAGGGAUGUGGAAUUCCAGGUGUAGCGGUGAAAUGCGUAGAUAUCUGGAGGAACACCGGUGGCGAAGGCGGCAUCCUGGACCGGUAUUGACGCUGAGGCGCGAAAGCCAGGGGAGCAAACGGGAUUAGAUACCCUGGUAGUCCACGCCGUAAACGAUGAAUGCUAGCCGUUGGCGAGCUUGCUCGUCAGUGGCGCAGCUAGCGCUUUAAGCAUUCCGCCUGGGGAGUACGGUCGCAAGAUUAAAACUCAAAUGAAUUGACGGGG
RNAcentral lists this ribosomal RNA (395 nucleotides) under uncultured bacterium. RNAcentral describes it as "partial 16S ribosomal RNA". It matches the Rfam family "Bacterial small subunit ribosomal RNA", at positions 523 to 918 of the family's 1533-position model. The record is from RNAcentral.